This 94-nucleotide transfer RNA is filed under the name Drosophila virilis. It matches the Rfam family "tRNA". Rfam says of the family: Transfer RNA (tRNA) molecules are approximately 80 nucleotides in length. Their secondary structure includes four short double-helical elements and three loops (D, anti-codon, and T loops). Further hydrogen bonds mediate the characteristic L-shaped molecular structure. tRNAs have two regions of fundamental functional importance: the anti-codon, which is responsible for specific mRNA codon recognition, and the 3' end, to which the tRNAs corresponding amino acid is attached (by aminoacyl-tRNA synthetases). tRNAs cope with the degeneracy of the genetic code in two manners: having more than one tRNA (with a specific anti-codon) for a particular amino acid; and 'wobble' base-pairing, i.e. permitting non-standard base-pairing at the 3rd anti-codon position. Lineage: Eukaryota; Metazoa; Arthropoda; Insecta; Diptera; Drosophilidae. The record is from Rfam by way of RNAcentral.
CCUUCGAUAGCUCAGUUGGUAGAGCGGUGGACUGUAGCACGGAAUAUACAAUAUAGACAUCCAUAGGUCGCUGGUUCAAAUCCGGCUCGAAGGA